Molecule: ribosomal RNA, 301 nt
Filed under: uncultured bacterium
Lineage: Bacteria
Description: partial 16S ribosomal RNA
Rfam family: Bacterial small subunit ribosomal RNA
Source: RNAcentral
CAGUCGCCACGGGAAUACGAAGGGGGCUAGCGUUGUUCGGAAUUACUGGGCGUAAAGCGCACGUAGGCGGAUAUUUAAGUCAGGGGUGAAAUCCCAGAGCUCAACUCUGGAACUGCCUUUGAUACUGGGUAUCUUGAGUAUGGAAGAGGUGAGUGGAAUUCCGAGUGUAGAGGUGAAAUUCGUAGAUAUUCGGAGGAACACCAGUAGCGAAGGCGGCUCACUGGUCCAUUACUGACGCUGAGGUGCGAAAGCGUGGGGAGCAAACAGGAUUAGAUACCCGAGUAGUCCCUGUCUCUUAUAC